UACGAAGGGGGCUAGCGUUGCUCGGAAUCACUGGGCGUAAAGGGUGCGUAGGCGGGUCUUUAAGUCAGAGGUGAAAUCCUGGAGCUCAACUCCAGAACUGCCUUUGAUACUGAGGAUCUUGAGUUCGGGAGAGGUGAGUGGAACUGCGAGUGUAGAGGUGAAAUUCGUAGAUAUUAGGAAGAACACCAGUGGCGAAGGCGGCUCACUGGUCCGGUACUGACGCUGAGGUGCGAAAGCGUGGGGAGCAAACAGG
RNAcentral lists this ribosomal RNA (253 nucleotides) under uncultured bacterium. Its description in RNAcentral is "partial 16S ribosomal RNA". It matches the Rfam family "Bacterial small subunit ribosomal RNA", at positions 524 to 776 of the family's 1533-position model. The record is from RNAcentral.